This 467-nucleotide ribosomal RNA is filed under the name uncultured bacterium. RNAcentral describes it as "partial 16S ribosomal RNA". It matches the Rfam family "Bacterial small subunit ribosomal RNA", at positions 28 to 507 of the family's 1533-position model. The record is from RNAcentral.
GAUGAACGCUGACAGAAUGCUUAACACAUGCAAGUCAACUUGAAUUUGGGUUUUUAACUUAGGUUUGGGUGGCGGACGGGUGAGUAACGCGUAAAGAACUUGCCUCACAGCUAGGGACAACAUUUGGAAACGAAUGCUAAUACCUAAUAUUAUGAUAAUAGGGCAUCCUAUAAUUAUGAAAGCUAUAAGCGCUGUGAGAGAGCUUUGCGUCCCAUUAGCUAGUUGGAGAGGUAACGGCUCACCAAGGCGAUGAUGGGUAGCCGGCCUGAGAGGGUGAUCGGCCACAAGGGGACUGAGACACGGCCCUUACUCCUACGGGAGGCAGCAGUGGGGAAUAUUGGACAAUGGACCGAGAGUCUGAUCCAGCAAUUCUGUGUGCACGAUGAAGUUUUUCGGAAUGUAAAGUGCUUUCUGUUGGGAAGAAACAAAUGACGGUACCAACAGAAGAAGUGACGGCUAAAUACGUG